Molecule: long non-coding RNA, 687 nt
Organism: Oreochromis niloticus (Nile tilapia)
Lineage: Eukaryota; Metazoa; Chordata; Actinopteri; Cichliformes; Cichlidae
Exons: 3
Source: RefSeq, a predicted model, not a curated record
GCUGCAAGUGCUCAGUCCAAGUUGGGCAAGUUGGUGUUUGUAACUUCUGUCUAUGAAAGUCUGAUAUGGGUCCUCCCCUAAACUUCUGUUAGAACGGUGGGAAACAUUGCUCCCGUGAGAACGGUACAGUGGACUUCAUCGCCACUGACCCACAGUUAUUAGGGUGUGACACGAACUUGUGGACAGAGUACCGAGCUGCUGCUUUGCCAAGUGGAUUUCUGGCUGCGGGCAAAGGACCCGACACGUCACUGAAUUUUAAACUGUUUUAAAUGCGACAGACUGACUGCUGUGGCUGUCGAUUGUUUGUUUCUUGUUUUAUUUUUCUGUAUCAGUAGGCACCACAGAUAUUGAUUCUUUUAGUAUUUUAACCUCUUUUUUAUAUAUAUAUAUAGAGAGAGAGAUAUUGUCUCAAACGGUGAAGGCGCUGUGUGGAAAACAAAUCCUUUUUUUGUCUCGCCGCUUUUGCAUGCACAGCGGUGGGUCUGAGUGAAGACGGCACUGAAGACUUGACUUUUUCUAUAGUGUUUUGCCCAUUUGGGGGUUAUGUGUGAGUUGCCGUCCCUUUUUAACCUGUGUGCUGUGUUGAUUUGUUCCUACACAGUUCCCCGCAGCGCUUGUCCUGUCUCACGGGCAAUCGUACAGUUUUAUCAUUUUUAAACAAGGUAAAGUUUUUAAUUGUUUUUAAGU